GCGUGCUUAACACAUGCAAGUCGAGCGGUAAGGCCCUUCGGGGUACACGAGCGGCGAACGGGUGAGUAACACGUGGGUAACCUGCCCUGUACUCUGGGAUAAGCCUGGGAAACUAGGUCUAAUACCGGAUAUGACCUGUCACUGCAUGGUGGUGGGUGGAAAGUUCCGGCGGUACAGGAUGGACCCGCGGCCUAUCAGCUUGUUGGUGGGGUAAUGGCCUACCAAGGCGACGACGGGUAGCCGGCCUGAGAGGGUGACCGGCCACACUGGGACUGAGACACGGCCCAGACUCCUACGGGAGGCAGCAGUGGGGAAUAUUGCACAAUGGGCGAAAGCCUGAUGCAGCGACGCCGCGUGAGGGAUGACGGCCUUCGGGUUGUAAACCUCUUUCAGCGGGGACGAAGGGCAACUGACGGUACCCGC
Molecule: ribosomal RNA, 423 nt
Filed under: bacterium gwi43
Lineage: Bacteria
Description: bacterial SSU rRNA
Rfam family: Bacterial small subunit ribosomal RNA
Source: RNAcentral